Molecule: ribosomal RNA, 679 nt
Filed under: uncultured bacterium
Lineage: Bacteria
Description: bacterial SSU rRNA
Rfam family: Bacterial small subunit ribosomal RNA
Source: RNAcentral
AUAACGUUUCGAAAGGAACGCUAAUACCGCAUACGCCCUACGGGGGAAAGGGGGGGAUCUUCGGACCUCUCGCUAUUAGAUGAGCCCAAGUCGGAUUAGCUAGUUGGUGAGGUAAAGGCUCACCAAGGCGACGAUCCGUAGCUGGUCUGAGAGGAUGAUCAGCCACACUGGAACUGAGACACGGUCCAGACUCCUACGGGAGGCAGCAGUGGGGAAUAUUGGACAAUGGGCGAAAGCCUGAUCCAGCCAUGCCGCGUGUGUGAAGAAGGCCUUCGGGUUGUAAAGCACUUUAAGCGAGGAGGAAUGGCUCUGGGUUAAUACCCUUGAGCAGUGACGUUACUCGCAGAAUAAGCACCGGCUAACUCUGUGCCAGCAGCCGCGGUAAUACAGAGGGUGCAAGCGUUAAUCGGAAUUACUGGGCGUAAAGCGCGCGUAGGCGGUUACGUAAGUUGGAUGUGAAAUCCCCGGGCUCAACCUGGGAAUUGCAUUCAAAACUGCGUGGCUAGAGUGUGGGAGAGGAAGGUAGAAUUCCAGGUGUAGCGGUGAAAUGCGUAGAUAUCUGGAGGAAUACCGAUGGCGAAGGCAGCCUUCUGGCCUAACACUGACGCUGAGGUGCGAAAGCAUGGGGAGCAAACAGGAUUAGAUACCCUGGUAGUCCAUGCCGUAACGAUGUCUACUA